UCCUACGGGAGGCAGCAGUGGGGAAUUUUGGACAAUGGGCGAAAGCCUGAUCCAGCCAUGCCGCGUGCAGGAUGAAGGCCUUCGGGUUGUAAACUGCUUUUGUACGGAACGAAAAGACUCUGGUUAAUACCUGGGGUCCAUGACGGUACCGUAAGAAUAAGCACCGGCUAACUGCGUGCCAGCAGCCGCGGUAAUACGUAGGGUGCAAGCGUUAAUCGGAAUUACUGGGCGUAAAGCGUGCGCAGGCGGUUAUAUAAGACAGAUGUGAAAUCCCCGGGCUCAACCUGGGAACUGCAUUGUGACUGUAUAGCUAGAAUACGGCAGAGGGGGAUGGAAUUCCGCGUGUAGCAGUGAAAUGCGUAGAUAUGCGGAGGAACACCGAUGGCGAAGGCAAUCCCCUGGGCCUGUACUGACGCUCAUGCACGAAAGCGUGGGGAGCAAACAGGAUUAGAUACCCUGGUAGUCCACGCCCUAAACGAUGUCAACUGGUUGUUGGGUCUUCACUGACUCAGUAACGAAGCUAAUGCGUGAAGUUGACCGCCUGGGGAGUACGGCCGCAAGGUUGAAACUCAAAUGAAUUGACGGA
Molecule: ribosomal RNA, 586 nt
Filed under: uncultured bacterium
Lineage: Bacteria
Description: bacterial SSU rRNA
Rfam family: Bacterial small subunit ribosomal RNA
Source: RNAcentral